This 383-nucleotide ribosomal RNA is filed under the name uncultured eukaryote. RNAcentral's name for it is "SSU rRNA". It matches the Rfam family "Eukaryotic small subunit ribosomal RNA", at positions 587 to 972 of the family's 1831-position model. The record is from RNAcentral.
AGCUCCAAUAGCGUAUAUUAAAGUUGUUGCGGUUAAAAAGCUCGUAGUUGGAUCUCAGUGUUAGACGAUCGGUCCGCCGCCCGGCGCGACUGAUCGUACUGCACCGUCCGCCGUUGCAGUCUCCAGUGCUCUUCAUUGAGUGUUGGACGAUUGCCGGUACGUUUACUUUGAAAAAAUUAGAGUGCUUCAAGCAGGCGUUUCCGCCUGAAUAUCUGUGCAUGGAAUAAUGGAAUAGGACCUCGGUUCUAUUUUGUUGGUUUUCGGGACUCGAGGUAAUGAUUAAUAGGGACAGACGGGGGCAUUCGUAUGGCGACGCUAGAGGUGAAAUUCUUGGACCGUCGCCAGACGAACUACUGCGAAAGCAUUUGCCAAGAAUGUUUUCA